AGGCUCCAGAUUGUUCUACUCCUGAUGUCAGGAGGAAGCUGAUUUACCUUUGGAAUGAGAUAACCUCUGGGAUCCCUGAACAGUUAAAGGGCAGACGGAAAUAAGGCUUGGCAAUGAAGAUGGACAAGGAACAUAUGCCAGUGCACAUCUAUUAUAAGCCAUUUAUCCCAGACUGUGAUGCAAGUGUGCUUAAGUCUGAAAUGCAAGUGACUCGUACUUACAGGCAAAAUACAUUCCAGCUGAGGAAAAAAGGAUUUUUGUUGCUGAUUUAAUGGAGUGACAGCCUUUCAGAAGUCUUUAAAUUCACCAUUUUCACUGAUGUCACCCUGUUACCAGAAAGGAGUCCUAAUUCUGACCCCAAGAGAAGGUCCUUAAAUCUCGUGCAAGAAAGAUUUCAGGAUUCAAAGAAUUAGCUGGACUAUGUCUCCAGGUGGAUGACUCUAUGGAAACUUUGAGCUGUAUGGAACAACCUCCUGAUCAUCCAUUUACCUUGCUUUGGUACAUUAGGACUUUAAUAGAAACUGCCUAAUGUGCAGGUAAAAAACUAUCAGGACUCAAAACAAGGCCUGUCCAAU
RNAcentral lists this long non-coding RNA (575 nucleotides) under Homo sapiens (human). RNAcentral describes it as "HSALNT0310710". Lineage: Eukaryota; Metazoa; Chordata; Mammalia; Primates; Hominidae. The record is from RNAcentral.